GCGGGUAUCGUAUAAUGGUUAUUAUACCACCUUGCCAAGGUAGUGAUAGGGGUUCGAUUCCCCUUACCCGCUCCA
RNAcentral lists this transfer RNA (75 nucleotides) under Patescibacteria group bacterium. RNAcentral describes it as "tRNA-Gly". It matches the Rfam family "tRNA". From Rfam's summary of the family: Transfer RNA (tRNA) molecules are approximately 80 nucleotides in length. The record is from RNAcentral.